GGAAGUAAAAGUCGUAACAAGGUCUCCGUAGGUGAACCUGCGGAGGGAUCAUUACAAGUGACCCCGGUUUACCACCGGGAUGUUCAUAACCCUUUGUUGUCCGACUCUGUUGCCUCCGGGGCGACCCUGCCUUCGGGCGGGGGCUCCGGGUGGACACUUCAAACUCUUGCGUAACUUUGCAGUCUGAGUAAACUUAAUUAAUAAAUUAAAACUUUCAACAACGGAUCUCUUGGUUCUGGCAUCGAUGAAGAACGCAGCGAAAUGCGAUAAGUAAUGUGAAUUGCAGAAUUCAGUGAAUCAUCGAAUCUUUGAACGCACAUUGCGCCCGGGGGGCAUGCCUGUUCGAGCGUCAUUUCACCACUCAAGCCUCGCUUGGUAUUGGGCAACGCGGUCCGCCGCGUGCCUCAAACGACCGGCUGGGUCUUCUGUCCCCUAAGCGUUGUGGAAACUAUUCGCUAAAGGGUGCUCGGGAGGCUACGCCGUAAAACAACCCCAUUUCUAAGGUUGACCUCGGAUCAGGUAGGGAUACCCGCUGAACUUAAGCAUAUCAAUAAGCGGAGGA
This 562-nucleotide ribosomal RNA is filed under the name Sasamorpha sinica. RNAcentral describes it as "eukaryotic LSU rRNA". The stretch from base 210 to 352 matches the Rfam family "5.8S ribosomal RNA". The record is from RNAcentral. Lineage: Eukaryota; Viridiplantae; Streptophyta; Magnoliopsida; Poales; Poaceae.